GAGGGUAUAGCUAAGUAGUAGAGUAUGUGCUUAGCAUGUACAAGGGCCUGGGUUCAAUUCCCAGUACCUCCA
Molecule: transfer RNA, 72 nt
Filed under: Camelus bactrianus (Bactrian camel)
Lineage: Eukaryota; Metazoa; Chordata; Mammalia; Artiodactyla; Camelidae
Also listed under: 1 other name
Rfam family: tRNA
About the family: Transfer RNA (tRNA) molecules are approximately 80 nucleotides in length. Their secondary structure includes four short double-helical elements and three loops (D, anti-codon, and T loops). Further hydrogen bonds mediate the characteristic L-shaped molecular structure. tRNAs have two regions of fundamental functional importance: the anti-codon, which is responsible for specific mRNA codon recognition, and the 3' end, to which the tRNAs corresponding amino acid is attached (by aminoacyl-tRNA synthetases). tRNAs cope with the degeneracy of the genetic code in two manners: having more than one tRNA (with a specific anti-codon) for a particular amino acid; and 'wobble' base-pairing, i.e. permitting non-standard base-pairing at the 3rd anti-codon position.
Source: Rfam by way of RNAcentral